CCGUGCUAUGCGGGGAGUUAGCGAUGCCCUGUCGUCCGCAAUUCGCUUAGCGGAGCAGAAUGCCGAUUUAGGCUUUAUGUGUGGAAGGCUGCGCUUUAUAAGGGACGUUGAUCCCAAGGUCUUAUGCAACGUGCCGCCGCGAACCGUGUCAGAGCAGGGAUGCAGCAGCACUAAACGGAAAGGUCGCGUGUGCCAUAAGGUGGCUUUGGAGUAGUUACCUGUAAGGCUUACGCUUCGGCGCAUAACGUCGACGUCGGAUGCACG
This 264-nucleotide signal recognition particle RNA is filed under the name bovine gut metagenome. RNAcentral's name for it is "Bacterial large signal recognition particle RNA". It matches the Rfam family "Bacterial large signal recognition particle RNA". Rfam says of the family: The signal recognition particle (SRP) is a universally conserved ribonucleoprotein involved in the co-translational targeting of proteins to membranes. The record is from RNAcentral.